CAUUAAGAAGCUAUACAGCAUUAACCUUUUAAGUUAAAGAUUGAGAGUUUAAAUCUCUCCUUAAUGA
This 67-nucleotide transfer RNA is filed under the name Uropsilus soricipes. RNAcentral's name for it is "tRNA-Lys". It matches the Rfam family "tRNA". Rfam says of the family: Transfer RNA (tRNA) molecules are approximately 80 nucleotides in length. RNAcentral also lists the same sequence under 2 other names. Lineage: Eukaryota; Metazoa; Chordata; Mammalia; Eulipotyphla; Talpidae. The record is from RNAcentral.